UGUCAUUCAUCCAUAUUUUGUAUGUUGUUUUAUUAGGUGACACUCUGACGUGUUUGGAAUGCGACCUAGCCAUUGCAGGAACCUGCAAUGCAACACACAUAGAAUGCCCUUCACAAGGUUAUCAAUGUGGUGCAUCCAGAGAAGUUUACUAUGGAGUUGGUUUAAAACUUCAGGACGUGGAAAAGAAAACUUGUGUUCUGCCUGAAAUGUGUGGACAAGAGUCAGUCAAUUUUGGGGCUUUCCAAAUCGUGCAAAAAACCCAAUGCUGCAACUCUACCAACUGCAACUCUAAGCUCCCAGAACCCAGCAUCAACCCUCCUAAUGGCAAAAAGUGCUUCAGCGGAUCUGAUUUAACUUGUGAGGGAAAAAUUUUGCCUUGUGAGGGAAAUGAAGACUUCUGCGUUACAAUAACAGUUGAAACAGGAAGACAAACCACCCUAAAGGGAUGUGCCUCAAAGCUGAUGUGCUCUAAACUUAGCUACGUUGCUUCUCUUUAUGAAGGAGCACAUGUUAGCUGUUGCAAGGGUGACUUAUGCAACGGCGGCAUCACUACAAGUGCAGGUAUGCAGCUUGUAGUUGUGGCAAUUGUCUCUUUGGCGUUGUUUUCUUAAGAAAUACAAACAAGUCCUCACCUUUAUAAUCCUCUAGCUAAUAUUUGUAGAUGUGGGGUGAGACUUGAUACCCUUCUGUUAGAAACCUCGGGGUAACUCUAGACCCAGUUUUACCUCUUGACUCUCAUGUUGGGUCACUUGUUCGUUCUUGUUUUUAUCAUUUAUAAAACAUUGCCAAACUGAGUCCAGGUUUAUCGUGUUCUUAGAUGGAGAUGCUCAUUCAUCAUUUUAUUUAUUUUCUCAUCUUGUUUAUUGCAACUACAUCUUCAAGUGUCUCAGUAAAAAAUCUUUAGAACGGCUUCAGGGUGUGCAGAAUGCUGCUGCAAGGCUUUUGACCAAAACUUCCCAAUACUUACAUGUCACCCCACUGCUAAUCCAGCUGCACUGGCUCCCCAUUCGUUUCAGAGUGCAGUUUUAAAAUCCUGGAUUUCACAUAUAGAGCUUUUAAUAACCAAACACCGGCCUAUAUAAAGGACCUCGUGCAGCCGUACACUCCCAGCAGGUCUCUCAGAUCAUGUGACCAGGACCUGCUGGUUGUUAAAAGAACUCUGUUCAGAACUAAAGGUGACAGAGCCGUUGCAGCAGUGGCUCCAUCUCUCUGGAACUCCCUACCUCUAAGCCUAGGAUCUGUAGACUCAGUGUUUUCUUUAAGAAAGCAGCUAAAGACACAUCUUUUUAAAAUUGCUUUUUGUGAACUA
Oryzias melastigma (Indian medaka) is the source of this 1309-nucleotide long non-coding RNA. RefSeq lists it as uncharacterized. The record is from RefSeq and is a predicted model, not a curated record. Lineage: Eukaryota; Metazoa; Chordata; Actinopteri; Beloniformes; Adrianichthyidae. The transcript is spliced from 4 exons.